RNAcentral lists this ribosomal RNA (253 nucleotides) under uncultured bacterium. Its description in RNAcentral is "partial 16S ribosomal RNA". It matches the Rfam family "Bacterial small subunit ribosomal RNA", at positions 524 to 776 of the family's 1533-position model. The record is from RNAcentral.
UACGUAGGGGGCAAGCGUUGUCCGGAAUCAUUGGGCGUAAAGCGCGUGUAGGCGGUCCGGUAAGUCCGCUGUGAAAGUCGGGGGCUCAACCCUGGGAUGCCGGUGGAUACUGUCGAGCUCGAGUCCGGAAGAGGCGAGUGGAAUUCCUGGUGUAGCGGUGAAAUGCGCAGAUAUCAGGAGGAACACCAAUGGCGAAGGCAGCUCGCUGGGACGUGACUGACGCUGAGACGCGAAAGCGUGGGGAGCAAACAGG